AGUGAACGCUGGCGGCGUGCUUAACACAUGCAAGUCGAACGAGAACGGAUUAUAGCUUGCUAUAAUUGUCAGCUAAGUGGCGCACGGGUGAGUAAUAUAUAGGUAACGUGCCCCAAAGAAGAGGAUAACAGAUGGAAACGCCUGCUAAGACUCUAUAUGCCUUUAUGACAUAAGUCAGCAAGGGAAAUAUUUAUAGCUUUGGGAUCGGCCUGUACAGUAUCAGUUAGUUGGUGAGGUAAUGGCUCACCAAGACAAUGACGCUUAACUGGUUUGAGAGGAUGAUCAGUCACACUGGAACUGAGACACGGUCCAGACUCCUACGGGAGCAGCAGUGGGAAUAUUGCACAAUGGACGAAAGUCUGAUGCAGCAACGCCGCGUGGAGGAUGACACAUUUCGGUGCGUAAACUCCUUUAUAUAGGAAGAUAAUGACGGUACUAUAUGAAUAAGCACCGGCUAAC
Molecule: ribosomal RNA, 459 nt
Filed under: uncultured bacterium
Lineage: Bacteria
Description: bacterial SSU rRNA
Rfam family: Bacterial small subunit ribosomal RNA
Source: RNAcentral